ACGGGACCGCCCACGACGACGAUGCGUAGGGGUUCUGAGAGGAAGGUCCCCCCACACUGGUACUGAGACACGGACCAGACUCCUACGGAAGGCAGCAG
RNAcentral lists this ribosomal RNA (98 nucleotides) under uncultured bacterium. RNAcentral describes it as "partial 16S ribosomal RNA". It matches the Rfam family "Bacterial small subunit ribosomal RNA", at positions 253 to 354 of the family's 1533-position model. The record is from RNAcentral.